RNAcentral lists this ribosomal RNA (437 nucleotides) under uncultured bacterium. Its description in RNAcentral is "partial 16S ribosomal RNA". It matches the Rfam family "Bacterial small subunit ribosomal RNA", at positions 28 to 507 of the family's 1533-position model. The record is from RNAcentral.
GAUGAACGCUGGCGGCAUGCCUAACACAUGCAAGUCGGACGGGAGGUGGUGUUUCCCGUGGCGUUCGGGGGAGUGACGCGUAAGAACCUGCCCUUGAGAGGGGAACAACAACUGUAAACGGUGGCUAAUACCCCGUAGGCUGAGUAGCACAAGGAGGGAUCCGCCAGCGGAGGGGCUGGCGUCUGAUUAGCUAGUUGGUUAGGUAAUAGCUUACCAAGGCGAUGAUCAGUAGCUGGUACGACAGGAUGAUCAGCCACACUGGGACUGGGACACGCCGCGGGCUACUUCGGGCAGCAGCAGUGGGGCAGUUUCAGCAAUAGGCGGAAGGCUGACAGGGCAUUGGCGCGUGAAAGUAGAUGGGCCACGAGUCGAGAACUUCUGUUCACGGAGAAGAAACAAUGACGGUAGCUGAAGAAUAAGCACCGGCUAACUCUGUG